AUUGAACGCUGGCGGAAUGCUUUACACAUGCAAGUCGAACGGCAGCACGGACUUCGGUCUGGUGGCGAGUGGCGAACGGGUGAGUAACGUAUCGGAACGUGCCCAGUCGUGGGGGAUAACGUAGUGAAAAUUACGCUAAUACCGCAUACGAUCUAUGAAUGAAAGCGGGGGAUCGCAACACCGCGCGCGAUUGGAGCGGCCGAGAUCAGAUUAGGUAGUUGGUGGGGUAAAGGCCCACCAAGCCAACGAUGUGUAGCUGGUCUGAGAGGACGACCAGCCACACUGAAGCUGAGACACGGUCCAGACUCCUACGGGAGGCAGCAGUGGGAGAUUUUGGACAAUGGGCGCAAGCCUGAUCCAGCCAUUCCGCGUGCAGGAUGAAGGCCCUCGGGUUGUAAACUGCUUUUGUACAGAACGAAAAGGUUUCUACUAAUACUAGGAGCUCAUGACGGUACUGUAAGAAUAAGCACCGGCUAACUACGUGCCAGACGCCGCAGUAA
This 500-nucleotide ribosomal RNA is filed under the name uncultured bacterium. RNAcentral's name for it is "partial 16S ribosomal RNA". It matches the Rfam family "Bacterial small subunit ribosomal RNA", at positions 30 to 523 of the family's 1533-position model. The record is from RNAcentral.